GACGAACGCUGGCGGCGUGCUUAACACAUGCAAGUCGAACGGAAAGGCCCUGCUUUUGUGGGGUGCUCGAUUGGCGAACGGGUGAGUAACACGUGAGUAACCUGCCCUUGACUUUGGGAUAACUUCAGGAAACUGGGGCUAAUACCGGAUAGGAUCUCCUGCUGCAUGGUGGGGGUUGGAAAGUUUCGGCUGUUGGGGAUGGACUCGCGGCUUAUCAGCUUGUUGGUGGGGUAGUGGCUUACCAAGGCUUUGACGGGUAGCCGGCCUGAGAGGGUGACCGGCCACAUUGGGCCUGAGAUACGGCCCAGACUGCUACGGGAGGCAGCAGUGGGGAAUAUUGCACAAUGGGCGGAAGCCAGAUGCAGCAACGCCGCGUGCGGGAUGACGGCCUUCGGGUUGUGAACCGAUUUCGCCUGUGACGAAGCGUGAGUGACGGUAAUGGGUAAAGAAGCACCGGCUAACUACGUG
RNAcentral lists this ribosomal RNA (468 nucleotides) under uncultured bacterium. RNAcentral's name for it is "partial 16S ribosomal RNA". It matches the Rfam family "Bacterial small subunit ribosomal RNA", at positions 28 to 507 of the family's 1533-position model. The record is from RNAcentral.